UUUUAUGAGAGUUUGAUCCUGGCUCAGGACGAACGCUGGCGGCGUGCCUAAUACAUGCAAGUCGAACGCUUCUUUUUCCACCGGAGCUUGCUCCACCGGAAAAAGAGGAGUGGCGAACGGGUGAGUAACACGUGGGUAACCUGCCCAUCAGAAGGGGAUAACACUUGGAAACAGGUGCUAAUACCGUAUAACAAUCGAAACCGCAUGGUUUUGAUUUGAAAGGCGCUUUCGGGUGUCGCUGAUGGAUGGACCCGCGGUGCAUUAGCUAGUUGGUGAGGUAACGGCUCACCAAGGCCACGAUGCAUAGCCGACCUGAGAGGGUGAUCGGCCACAUUGGGACUGAGACACGGCCCAAACUCCUACGGGAGGCAGCAGUAGGGAAUCUUCGGCAAUGGACGAAAGUCUGACCGAGCAACGCCGCGUGAGUGAAGAAGGUUUUCGGAUCGUAAAACUCUGUUGUUAGAGAAGAACAAGGAUGAGAGUAACUGUUCAUCCCUUGACGGUAUCUAACCAGAAAGCCACGGCUAACUACGUGCCAGCAGCCGCGGUAAUACGUAGGUGGCAAGCGUUGUCCGGAUUUAUUGGGCGUAAAGCGAGCGCAGGCGGUUUCUUAAGUCUGAUGUGAAAGCCCCCGGCUCAACCGGGGAGGGUCAUUGGAAACUGGGAGACUUGAGUGCAGAAGAGGAGAGUGGAAUUCCAUGUGUAGCGGUGAAAUGCGUAGAUAUAUGGAGGAACACCAGUGGCGAAGGCGGCUCUCUGGUCUGUAACUGACGCUGAGGCUCGAAAGCGUGGGGAGCAAACAGGAUUAGAUACCCUGGUAGUCCACGCCGUAAACGAUGAGUGCUAAGUGUUGGAGGGUUUCCGCCCUUCAGUGCUGCAGCUAACGCAUUAAGCACUCCGCCUGGGGAGUACGACCGCAAGGUUGAAACUCAAAGGAAUUGACGGGGGCCCGCACAAGCGGUGGAGCAUGUGGUUUAAUUCGAAGCAACGCGAAGAACCUUACCAGGUCUUGACAUCCUUUGACCACUCUAGAGAUAGAGCUUCCCCUUCGGGGGCAAAGUGACAGGUGGUGCAUGGUUGUCGUCAGCUCGUGUCGUGAGAUGUUGGGUUAAGUCCCGCAACGAGCGCAACCCUUAUUGUUAGUUGCCAUCAUUCAGUUGGGCACUCUAGCAAGACUGCCGGUGACAAACCGGAGGAAGGUGGGGAUGACGUCAAAUCAUCAUGCCCCUUAUGACCUGGGCUACACACGUGCUACAAUGGGAAGUACAACGAGUCGCGAAGUCGCGAGGCUAAGCUAAUCUCUUAAAGCUUCUCUCAGUUCGGAUUGCAGGCUGCAACUCGCCUGCAUGAAGCCGGAAUCGCUAGUAAUCGCGGAUCAGCACGCCGCGGUGAAUACGUUCCCGGGCCUUGUACACACCGCCCGUCACACCACGAGAGUUUGUAACACCCGAAGUCGGUGAGGUAACCUUUUGGAGCCAGCCGCCUAAGGUGGGAUAGAUGAUUGGGGUGAAGUCGUAACAAGGUAGCCGUAUCGGAAGGUGCGGCUGGAUCACCUCCUUUCUAAGGAA
Molecule: ribosomal RNA, 1568 nt
Filed under: Enterococcus faecium
Lineage: Bacteria; Bacillati; Bacillota; Bacilli; Lactobacillales; Enterococcaceae
Description: bacterial SSU rRNA
Rfam family: Bacterial small subunit ribosomal RNA
Source: RNAcentral